CAAAUUAUAAUAAUUAAUUUUUUAUUUACAGUAAAUAAAUCAGUUGUUUAAUUCAACUUAAUUUGA
Molecule: transfer RNA, 66 nt
Filed under: Diprion sp.
Lineage: Eukaryota; Metazoa; Arthropoda; Insecta; Hymenoptera; Diprionidae
Also listed under: 1 other name
Description: tRNA-Val
Source: RNAcentral